Molecule: transfer RNA, 68 nt
Filed under: Xystodesmus sp. YD-2016
Lineage: Eukaryota; Metazoa; Arthropoda; Diplopoda; Polydesmida; Xystodesmidae
Description: tRNA-Trp
Source: RNAcentral
AAGGCCUUAAGUUAAUAAAGUAAAGAGACUAUUAAUUUUCAAAGUUAGAAGUGGGUUUUCAGGCUUUA